AUAUCUGAAUUUUUUUUAAUGGUGAGAAAAAAAUCAGAUUUCUUUUUUUAAUGGUGGGAAAAUAUCUGGGGUUUUUUUAACAGUGGAAAAAAUAUCUGAAUUUUUUUUAAUGGUGGAAAAAUAUCUGAAUUUGUUUAAUGGUGAGAAAAAAUCUGAUUUUUUUUAAUAUAGGGAAAAUAUCUGAAUUUAAAUGGUGGGAAAAUAUCUGAUUUUUUUUAAUGGUGGGGAAAAAAAUCUGAAUUUAAUUUUAAUGGUGGGGGAAUACCUGUGGGGCUGACUGGAGCCUGUCCCUCUGUGCCUGUCCCCAGUGGUGUACGAGCACCGGUCCCGCCUGGAGCGAUCCCUGCAGAAGGAGAGGGGCGAGCACAAGAAGACCAAGGAAGAUUUCUUGGUGUACAAGCUGGAGGCUCAGGAAGCUCUCAACAAGGAGAAGGUGGGGGUGCUUUGUCCUGGCCUUGGUGCCAGGGGGGAAUCCUUCCUGUGCCCCCGGGCAGGGCAGGGCAGGGCAGGGCAGGGAGGGCUCCUGGCACGGCUGAGCCCUGGGCUGGAGCUCUGCUGCUGCCACUCCAGAUUCCUGUGGGACACAGAGCCCCGUGCUGCCCUGGGGCCCUGGAGAAGCUUCCAGAAUGGAAUGGUGGAGCUGGGAUUGUGGGGGUGGAGAGUUUGGAUAGAAGGGUGUGAUGUCACAG
RNAcentral lists this long non-coding RNA (689 nucleotides) under Serinus canaria (Common canary). RNAcentral describes it as "lncRNA (ENSSCAG00000017320.1)". The record is from RNAcentral. Lineage: Eukaryota; Metazoa; Chordata; Aves; Passeriformes; Fringillidae.